GGGAAUGUAGUUAAUAAUAACACUUAAUUUGCAAUUAAGAAGAAUUGAAUAAAUCUUUCUCA
This 62-nucleotide transfer RNA is filed under the name Hypselosoma matsumurae. RNAcentral describes it as "tRNA-Ala". The record is from RNAcentral. Lineage: Eukaryota; Metazoa; Arthropoda; Insecta; Hemiptera; Schizopteridae.